RNAcentral lists this ribosomal RNA (497 nucleotides) under uncultured bacterium. Its description in RNAcentral is "partial 16S ribosomal RNA". It matches the Rfam family "Bacterial small subunit ribosomal RNA", at positions 28 to 507 of the family's 1533-position model. The record is from RNAcentral.
GAUGAACGCUGGCGGCGUGCCUAAUACAUGCAAGUCGAGCGAACGGACGAGAAGCUUGCUUUUCUGAUGUUAGCGGCGGACGGGUGAGUAACACGUGGAUAACCUACCUAUAAGACUGGGAUAACUUCGGGAAACCGGAGAUAAUACCGGAUAAUAUUUUGAACCGCAUGGUUCAAAAGUGAAAGACGGUCUUGCUGUCACUUAUAGAUGGAUCCGCGCUGCAUUAGCUAGUUGGUAAGGUAACGGCUUACCAAGGCAACGAUGCAUAGCCGACCUGAGAGGGUGAUCGGCCACACUGGAACUGAGACACGGUCCAGACUCCUACGGGAGGCAGCAGUAGGGAAUCUUCCGCAAUGGGCGAAAGCCUGACGGAGCAACGCCGCGUGAGUGAUGAAGGUCUUCGGAUCGUAAAACUCUGUUAUUAGGGAAGAACAUAUGUGUAAGUAACUGUGCACAUCUUGACGGUACCUAAUCAGAAAGCAACGGCUAACUACGUG